This 2736-nucleotide ribosomal RNA is filed under the name Triticum aestivum (bread wheat). Its description in RNAcentral is "partial small subunit ribosomal RNA". The record is from RNAcentral. Lineage: Eukaryota; Viridiplantae; Streptophyta; Magnoliopsida; Poales; Poaceae.
AUGGCGGAGGCAAAGAAGAAGGAAGACGACGAGCCUGGGGUGACAGCCGGCGGCGAGGGCGGUGCUCACUCCGAGGUCAACAAGUGGCUAGGCAGCGCAAGUUUCCCGACCCAGCGCUCGCCUGGGCCACCUACGCAGGAGGUCCAGAUCUCGUCGGUGUUCCGUGCGGCCAGGGCAGUGGCCAAAUGCAUCCACGCGGAUCCAGAAGGCGGGCACCAGUGGGCCUCCUCACUUGGUGGCGUGGAUUUGGAUGAUGAAGUAUGGGAAUUGAGGCUGCAUUUUCAGGGUAGAGAUAACAUGGAAAGGAAGUUUUCCUUAUCAGAAAUGAAUUACCUGUUAUUGUUAGCACUGAUUGAACUUGAGGGCUAUGGGUUGGAUGCCUAUCUGUCAUAUGUUAAGGAUGAGGGUAAGGGGCUGGAGGGGGUUGAGGUUUUGGACAGUGAUGAGAAGGUGGAGGAGAUGCUUGAUUUGUUUGCUGAGAAGAAAGUAUUGAACAUAACAGUGAGAGAGGCUAGUGACCCAAAUCCAGCAGAUGCAAACAUGGACCACACCUUGCUUGAAGAGCAGAUUCCAAUGAGUCAAGUUGAUGAUCCCAGUGUUUAUAGUGUUUCCCAAGAAGGUGUUCUUUUUCCUGUCUCAAAGUCUUCACAGCCUCCAGUUGUGCCUGUUCAAGCAUAUCUUAACACACAGCAGAGCUGUAAUUUCAACAAGGAAAAAGAGGCAGUGGAAAUUGAAAAUAUUCAAGCAGAAGAUGAAGAUACAGAUGAGUUGGAUAAAUCCUCUUCAGAUUUUGAGUUUUUCAGGGGUGGUUACAGAGGGAAGAAUAUUUCAUACAAGUCUUGGGCUAGGGGAGAAGAUGAAGGUGGUGAAGGAACAAGUCAGCACUACAGGGAAGAGGAAGAGAUGGCUGAGCAUUAUUUUGGGGCUGCUUCUGAACCAUCAGAGUUUUGGCAGGAGCAAAUUAGUUCUGAAGAAGAUGAUGAAGAAGAAGCUUCAGAUCAUGUGAAAAGUGAUGAAGGCAUUUCUAAUGAAGAAGAUGAUGCACCUAGGUUGCCUUGUGGCAAGAAGAGAAAAUUGAAGAAGAAGAAGGAGAGAAUAUGAGAAGCAUUGAGAAACUACCAUGUUAGGACACUGAGGAACUUCGAGUGCCAUAGGAAUGGUCCAAGUAAGAUCAUAGCCUGGUGCUCAGAUAGAAAGCAUGGUUGUGAGUUUUAUAUUACUGCUUCUAAGAUUGCCCAUGAGUCAACCUUUAGCAUCAAGAAGAUGAAUCUUGAUCACACCUGUGGAGCAAGUGGAGAGAACACAAAGGGUCUGCUCAAUGCAAUAGAGGAUGUAUUUCCUGAUUCCCCUCAAAGAUUUUGUUUAAGACACAUAUAUGCCAACUUCCAGUCAGCUGGGUUUAGAGGGGAUGAAUUGAAAAAACAUCUAGACCAGGCUGCAUAUUCUUUCACUAAGCAUGGGCAUGAUCUGGGCAUGGAAGCAUUGAAGAAAGAGAGUGAGGAGGCAUGGAAGUGGUUGUCCAACAUACCAGUCCAUACUUGGGCCAGGCAUAGAAUGGAUACUAUAUGCAAGAUAGACCUUGUUGUAAACAAUCUUAGUGAAGUUUUCAACAGGAUGAUUCUGGAUGUUAGGAACAAGCCCAUAAGGAGAAUGCUUGAAGGAAUAAGGACAAAACUCAUGAUCAAAUUUCAGAAGAUUCGGGAGAAGACACAGACAUGUAGGUGGGAUAUCACACCCACAUACUCUGAGAUAUUGGAGGAGGCCAAGAAAUGGGCAAAAUAUUGUGAUGCAUAUAUGGCUGGACCAGGCAUUUGGCAAGUUACAAGUAGUUCAGAAAAGACCUACUGUGUAAACGUGAACAACUACACUUGUGACUGCAGGAGGUGGGAUAUGACAGUUGUUCCAUGUAGUCAUGCUGUAGCAGCAAUGCAGAAGGUGAAACUACACCCUGAAGAUUUUGUACAUGAGUUCUUCAAGAAGCCCCUCUACUGUGAAACCUACAAGCAUAUUAUAUACCCUGUUCCUGGCCCUGAUUGUUGGCCACACACCAUGGGGGAUGACAUAUCUCCUCCAGUAUUCAAAGAAAAGAAGGGUAAAAAGCAGACAGCUAGGAGGAAAGGACAUUUUGAGGUGCCUGCCAAGAAGGAUACAUCAAGAAUUGGGACAGUGACCUGUAGCAAUUGCAACAAGCAAGGUCACAGAUAUACCACAUGUGGUGAUCCACUGAAACCCAAACUGCAGAUGAGGAAGAAUAAUCACCAAGAGAAUAGGUCAGUCUACUCUUCAUCUACCAGAGAUACUACAGAAGUGGUUGCACCCCCACCACCACCAUCAGCACCAGCCAUAGGGAGGAACAGGCCAGCAACAGUCAUAGCUACUCCAGGACCAGCAAAGAGGAACAAGGCUGCUGCUACUGCUACUCCAGGACCAUCAAAGAGGAACAAGGUUGUUGCUUCUGCUACUCCAGCACCUGCCACAUCAGCACCUGCCAAGAAGACCAAAGCAACCAAGAAGACAAGGGCUCCUAGCACAUCUUCACCAGCCAAGAACACAAGGUCAUCCAUUGCCUCUCCAGCAAAGAACACCAGAGCAUCAACAGCUAGCAGAGGAGGGGGACACACAGGUUUCAAUGCUCCAAGGCAAGCUGCUCACUCUGAGAUGGAGAUUGGGUCCAAGAGGGUUAGGAAGCCAACUAGAAAGUGGAAGGCAUAUUUCACUGCUAGUGGUAACUAUUGA